ACGGGGGGAGCAAGCGUUGUUCGGAUUUACUGGGCGUAAAGGGCGCGUAGGCGGCCUGAUAAGGGUGUGGUGAAAGUCCGGGGCUCAACCCCGGAUCUGCCGUGCCGACUGUUAGGCUAGAGUACUGUAGGGGCAGGCGGAAUUCCGGGUGUAGCGGUGGAAUGCGUAGAGAUCCGGAGGAAGACCGGUGGCGAAGGCGGCCUGCUGGGCAGUUACUGACACUGAGGCGCGACAGCGUGGGGAGCAAACAGGA
This 253-nucleotide ribosomal RNA is filed under the name uncultured prokaryote. RNAcentral's name for it is "partial 16S ribosomal RNA". It matches the Rfam family "Bacterial small subunit ribosomal RNA", at positions 525 to 777 of the family's 1533-position model. The record is from RNAcentral.